AUAAUACCUAUAGGCUACCAAUGCUGGAAUGCCUGGUAGCCGAAAGUUCCGGCGCCUUAGGAUGGAUCUGCGGCCGAUUAGGUUGUUGUCGGGGUAACGGCCCAACAAGCCAGUAAUCGGUACGGGUUGUGGGAGCAAGAGCCCGGAGUUGGAUUCUGAGACACGAAUCCAGGCCCUACGGGGCGCAGCAGGCGCGAAAACUUUACAAUGCGGGCAACCGUGAUAAGGGAACCUCGAGUGCCUGUAUAUGCAGGCUGUCUGAGUGUCUAAAACACACUCAAAGAAAGGGCCGGGCAAGACCGGUGCCAGCCGCCGCGGUAAUACCGGCGGCUCGAGUGGUGGCCACUUUUAUUGGGCUUAAAGCGUUCGUAGCUGGGUUAUUAAGUCCCUUGGGAAAUCCGGCGGCUUAACCGUCGGGCGUCUAAGGGAUACUGGUAAUCUUGGAACCGGGAGAGGUGAGGGGUACUUCGGGGGUAGGAGUGAAAUCCUGUAAUCCUCGAGGGACCACCUGUGGCGAAGGCGCCUCACCAGAACGGCUUCGACAGUGAGGGACGAAAGCUGGGGGAGCAAACCGGAUUAGAUACCCGGGUAGUCCCAGCCGUAAACGAUGUGCGUUAGGUGU
Molecule: ribosomal RNA, 622 nt
Filed under: uncultured archaeon
Lineage: Archaea
Description: bacterial SSU rRNA
Rfam family: Archaeal small subunit ribosomal RNA
Source: RNAcentral